RNAcentral lists this ribosomal RNA (375 nucleotides) under uncultured bacterium. RNAcentral's name for it is "bacterial SSU rRNA". It matches the Rfam family "Bacterial small subunit ribosomal RNA", at positions 524 to 898 of the family's 1533-position model. The record is from RNAcentral.
UACGGAGGGAGCUAGCGUUGUUCGGAAUUACUGGGCGUAAAGCGUGCGUAGGCGGCUAUUCAAGUCAGAGGUGAAAGCCUGGAGCUCAACUCCAGAACUGCCUUUGAAACUAGAUAGCUAGAAUCUUGGAGAGGUGAGUGGAAUUCCGAGUGUAGAGGUGAAAUUCGUAGAUAUUCGGAAGAACACCAGUGGCGAAGGCGACUCACUGGACAAGUAUUGACGCUGAGGUACGAAAGCGUGGGGAGCAAACAGGAUUAGAUACCCUGGUAGUCCACGCCGUAAACGAUGAUAACUAGCUGUCCGGGCUCUCAGAGCUUGGGUGGCGCAGCUAACGCAUUAAGUUAUCCGCCUGGGGAGUACGGUCGCAAGAUUAAA